GGGCCGGUAGCUUAGCUUGGUGGAGCGCUUGACUUUUAAUCAGGAGGUCGGGGGUUCAAAUCCCCUCCGGCCCG
This 74-nucleotide transfer RNA is filed under the name Nanobdellota archaeon. Its description in RNAcentral is "tRNA-Lys". It matches the Rfam family "tRNA". Rfam says of the family: Transfer RNA (tRNA) molecules are approximately 80 nucleotides in length. Their secondary structure includes four short double-helical elements and three loops (D, anti-codon, and T loops). Further hydrogen bonds mediate the characteristic L-shaped molecular structure. tRNAs have two regions of fundamental functional importance: the anti-codon, which is responsible for specific mRNA codon recognition, and the 3' end, to which the tRNAs corresponding amino acid is attached (by aminoacyl-tRNA synthetases). tRNAs cope with the degeneracy of the genetic code in two manners: having more than one tRNA (with a specific anti-codon) for a particular amino acid; and 'wobble' base-pairing, i.e. permitting non-standard base-pairing at the 3rd anti-codon position. The record is from RNAcentral. Lineage: Archaea; Nanobdellati; Nanobdellota.